CAGCCGCCGCGGUAAUACGUAGGGUGCAAGCGUUAAUCGGAAUUACUGGGCGUAAAGCGUGCGCAGGCGGUUAUGCAAGACAGAGGUGAAGUCCCCGGGCUCAACCUGGGAACUGCCUUUGUGACUGCAUGGCUAGAGUACGGUAGAGGGGGAUGGAAUUCCGCGUGUAGCAGUGAAAUGCGUAGAUAUGCGGAGGAACACCGAUGGCGAAGGCAAUCCCCUGGACCUGUACUGACGCUCAUGCACGAAAGCGUGGGGAGCAAACAGGAUUAGAUACCCUGGUAGUCCACGCCCUAAACGAUGUCAACUGGUUGUUGGGAGGGUUUCUUCUCAGUAACGUAGCUAACGCGUGAAGUUGACCGCCUGGGGAGUACGGCCGCAAGGUUGAAACUUAAAGGAAUUGGCGG
This 407-nucleotide ribosomal RNA is filed under the name uncultured rumen bacterium. RNAcentral's name for it is "bacterial SSU rRNA". It matches the Rfam family "Bacterial small subunit ribosomal RNA", at positions 509 to 916 of the family's 1533-position model. The record is from RNAcentral.